GGAUCACCUGAACCUGGGAAGCAGAGGUUGCAGUGAACUGAGAUCACGCCACUGUACUGGCUGACAAAGUGAGACCCCUGUCUAAAAAAAAGAUAAAGAGAGUUACCUGAAUCUGGAAUCCUUAAUCUUGGUUUUCCUUAAACUUUCUAUAAGUCCAGCAUCUGAAAUAUUUUGUCAAUUAUCACAUUAAUGUGUUCAUUUUGUAAGUAAGAGUACUCAAUUUAAAAUGAUCUUACUUUAAAAGUGGCCUAGUUUGCAGUGCCCAGCAGGACACUGACAGUCACAGCUGUGUGACUUUUUGUGGGUUACUUAAUUUUUUUGAGCCUCCUUUUCUCUUCUAUUCAAUGAGGAUAAUAGGGCCUACCUCAUAGGAUUAUUAUGCAUUCCCCUCUGUUAAUGCACGUAAAGUUUUUACUUGGAAAACUAACUCACCAUUUAACAACCAUUCUAAGCACCAUAGGAUAUAUUUUGUUUCACAAAUUUGGUAUUCAUUCAGAAUAAGUAUUUGAAAAGUGAGUAAAUUCUAUGCAAUUAUAGUUAUUAAAUGACUUAUAAACUGUGUUUCUCUUCCACUUCUUGCUACAUUUAAUCUUCUAGGUGUUCAGAUAUCUUUGGAGAUUAUAGGCAGCAAUAAAGCUAAGGCAGCUAACCUUUCAACAUUCUUGUGUCAGGCUAAUAUUUUGGUGAAAGGAAUUCUUGUGUUUCUCAAAGAACUAGAGCUGAAGCAGAAAUAAGUUCCAAUGAGCAAGUGUCCAAUCGGACCAUUGAAUGAAAUCUAGUGUUUUAAACAAUUCUGAUGUUUCAAUGUUUUGUUCUGUUUUCUUUUGAUCUUGUGAGCAGUAAGACAUAUUUUAUGUGGGUGGUAAAGGAAGAAAUCAAGUAACAGAAUGAGGAAUUGUUCCCAGGAAGAGUUAGAGUUGGGACAAAUGGGUUGUUAACUUUGAUUUUUAGAUCUUCUCUGAAGACAUUAAACAUGGAAUGGUCAUCUUUAGAAAAAUAAAAGACUAUGCAACUCCA
RNAcentral lists this long non-coding RNA (1017 nucleotides) under Homo sapiens (human). RNAcentral's name for it is "non-protein coding lnc-CTNNBIP1-1:1". Lineage: Eukaryota; Metazoa; Chordata; Mammalia; Primates; Hominidae. The record is from RNAcentral.